RNAcentral lists this unclassified non-coding RNA (349 nucleotides) under Hevea brasiliensis (rubber tree). The record is from RNAcentral. Lineage: Eukaryota; Viridiplantae; Streptophyta; Magnoliopsida; Malpighiales; Euphorbiaceae.
GCUGAAGUUUGAGAAAGUUGGAGAAUUCUGUGUCAUUGUGGAAGUGAUGUCUUAACUAGCAAGCAUUUCUUUGGAAGGGAAAUGUUGAGAAAGAAAUCCUUGAAAUCCUUCUUAUAUGUUGGUGUUAAGGCUUCAUUUUGUCAAGUUUUCAGUUUUGACACAUCAUCAACCAUGACCUUGUGCUGCGCUCUGUGAAGAUAGAUGGCCAUUCGGUUUCAUUGGAUCCUCCGGAUAGAAAGAUAAAAUGUAUAAGAGCGACACUCUUGUAAUUUUCUUUUUCCUCCUCUAUUCUUUUCCCUCCAUGGUAAUGCAUUUCUGUCCUCAAAUGUUCAUUAAUAGUUACAAUGAG